Potamilus streckersoni is the source of this 73-nucleotide non-coding RNA. NCBI's taxonomy places the organism in Eukaryota, Metazoa, Mollusca, Bivalvia, Unionida, Unionidae. The record is from the annotation of a GenBank genome assembly.
GGCCUAGUGGUUUAGUGGUUAGAAUGUCUGACUCAGAUGCGUGACGUCAUAGGUUCGAAUCCCAGCCGAGUCA